GCAGUUAGUCUCAUGGUGGUUUGGAUCUGUUGGGGAUGGGGAGGGGACCUUCACAGUAGAGACCACUAGGAAAGAGGGAUGAGAGUCAGACGGCGGAGGCUCUAGCCUGCCGUGCUCAGGACUUUGGCCUUUAUCCGGCAUUUUCCAGGAAACUCGGACGUCCAGGGAGUGGGAGUACGAACCACACAAGUCGACUGGAUCCAAUUGAAGCCCCACAAAGAUGGAUUGCAACAGGGGAGGAGCUCCGAUCUUGUAAAGGGUCUGGAAUUCUCAUCCUUCCAGGACAGAUACACCCUCCACUCAGAUACCACGCCUCCCAAACUCCAUUCCUGCUUGUAGCAGGGAGACCCUGGAGCUAGGGAGAUGUCCAGGAACAACAGGGCAGGGAGAACGCUACAGGGUCACUCUGUAGACCAGGCUGGCCAUAAACUCACAGAGAUCCUCCUGAUUUUACCUCCCAAGUGCUGGAUGAAAGAUGUAUACCACUCUGCCUAACUGUUAAGAUUUAUUUUAUUUUUAAUUCUCUCUCUCUCUCUCUCUCUCUCUCUCUCUCUCUCUCUCUCUCU
This is a long non-coding RNA of Mesocricetus auratus (golden hamster), 566 nucleotides long. RefSeq lists it as uncharacterized. The record is from RefSeq and is a predicted model, not a curated record. Lineage: Eukaryota; Metazoa; Chordata; Mammalia; Rodentia; Cricetidae. The transcript has 3 exons.